This 429-nucleotide ribosomal RNA is filed under the name uncultured bacterium. RNAcentral's name for it is "bacterial SSU rRNA". It matches the Rfam family "Bacterial small subunit ribosomal RNA", at positions 29 to 502 of the family's 1533-position model. The record is from RNAcentral.
AUUGAACGCUGGCGGCGUGCUUAACACAUGCAAGUCGAACGGCCCGCAAGGGCAGUGGCAAACGGGUGCGUAACACGUAGGGAUCUACCCUUCAGCUGGGGACGAACGGAUGGAAACGUCCGCUAAUACCCGAUGACGUCGGGAGACGAAAGGCGAAAGCCACUCGUGGAGGAGCCUGCGGCCUAUCAGGUAGUUGGUGGGGUAAAAGCCCACCAAGGCUAUGACGGGUAGCAGGUGUGAGAGCACGACCUGCAACAUCGGGACUGAGACACUGCCCGGACUCCUACGGGAGGCUGCAGCGACGAAUCUUCCGCAAUGGGCGCAAGCCUGACGGAGCGACGCCGCGUGUGGGAUGAAGCGCCUUCGGUGUGUAAACCACUGUCAGGAAAUAGAACCAAUGAUCAUUUCCAAAGGAAGAGACGGCUAACC